CAAUAGCGUAUAUUAAAGUUGUUGCAGUUAAAAAGCUCGUAGUUGGAUUUCUGGUGGGAGCGAUCGGUCUGGCGCUUAGCGCGAGUACUUGCAUCGUCUCCGGCCAUCCUUGGGGAGAGUCUGUCUGGCAUUAAGUUGUCGGGCAGAGGAUCCUCAUCGUUUACUGUGAAAAAAUUAGAGUGUUCAAAGCAGGCUUAUGCCGUUGAUUAUAUUAGCAUGGAAUAAUAAGAUAGGACUUUGGUACUAUUUUGUUGGUUUGCGCACCAAAGUAAUGAUUAAUAGGGACAGUUGGGGGUAUUCGUAUUCCGUUGUCAGAGGUGAAAUUCUUGGAUUUACGGAAGACGAACUACUGCGAAAGCAUUUACCAAGGAUGUUUUCAUUAA
This 383-nucleotide ribosomal RNA is filed under the name uncultured eukaryote. RNAcentral describes it as "partial 18S ribosomal RNA". It matches the Rfam family "Eukaryotic small subunit ribosomal RNA", at positions 592 to 976 of the family's 1831-position model. The record is from RNAcentral.